RNAcentral lists this ribosomal RNA (531 nucleotides) under uncultured bacterium. RNAcentral's name for it is "bacterial SSU rRNA". It matches the Rfam family "Bacterial small subunit ribosomal RNA", at positions 355 to 896 of the family's 1533-position model. The record is from RNAcentral.
UGGGGAAUAUUGCACAAUGGGCGCAAGCCUGAUGCAGCAACGCCGCGUGCGGGAUGACGGCCUUCGGGUUGUAAACCGCUUUCAGCAGGGGCGAAGCUUUUGUGACGGUACCUGCAGAAGAAGCACCGGCUAACUACGUGCCAGCAGCCGCGGUGAUACGUAGGGUGCGAGCGUUGUCCGGAUUUAUUGGGCGUAAAGAGCUCGUAGGUGGUUGAUCGCGUCGGAAGUGAAAACUUGGGGCUUAACCCUGAGCGUGCUUUCGAUACGGGUUGACUUGAGGAAGGUAGGGGAGAAUGGAAUUCCUGGUGGAGCGGUGGAAUGCGCAGAUAUCAGGAGGAACACCAGUGGCGAAGGCGGUUCUCUGGACCUUUCCUGACGCUGAGGAGCGAAAGCGUGGGGAGCGAACAGGCUUAGAUACCCUGGUAGUCCACGCUGUAAACGGUGGGUACUAGGUGUGGGGUCCAUUCCACGGAUUCCGUGCCGUAGCUAACGCAUUAAGUACCCCGCCUGGGGAGUACGGCCGCAAGGCUA